CUUUUUGUGCAUAAUGUAUAUAUAGGGGGGUGGUAGUACUCUUGGGGUAGAGAGGCAUGUGCUGGGAUGGCAUGCCAAGGCAUGUGCUGGGAUGGCAUGCCUUGGUGUGUGCUGGGAUGGCAUGCCAAGGACAAGCAUGUGCUAGGAAGGCAUGCCAAGGCCAAGGCAAGCACAGGCAUUGUGAGCGAGACGAGACGGUUAUGAUUACCCCAAGAGUGCCCAAGGGAGAGGAAGGUGUCAAACGCAUGCUGAGCCCCACUUCGGUAGUUUGGCACCCCCAUAGGCAUUCAGGCAAGCGUGCCUAUGGGAGAAGUCGCUAGAGCUUGCCAACACCCAUGUUAGCUGUAGUCUGGACCGAUGAUGGCACAAGGAUGCUUGCUUUAAGGUAACGUUCCGGCAGCACAGCCAGCCCGCAAUUGCUAGUUCAAGCGGGUGGAAUCUGCCUAUAGGGGUGUUGCUUGCUUGCUGUGAAUUUGGGACACGCCCAAUAUCUAUCAUCAACCGAACGAAGUGCUCAACAUGGGUUGCUGGGGGCUAUUUUGGCACUGACGGUUCACUUGUUUGCUUGGGUCUGAUAAACGUUUAGAUGUGAUGAUGCUUGGGAUCCAAUAAAUUUAUGUGGGAAGCUGAGAGCUGGAACCCAAUGUCAUUCACCAGACGGCUUAGCUUCGUCAGUGUGUAUAGUAUGUCAUUGAACCCCAAUCCUUGAUGCCAACCUGAUUAUGACUUUUGGAUCGCAAUUAUCAUGGCUAUCAAAAACUGAGUAGGAGUCAUGGAAUAAGUGAACAAUUUGUAGCCUUUAUAGCUGUCAGCUUUCGCAUCGCCCGGUUUGUUUUGGGAAUCGCUUUGUGCAUUUGGUUGCCUGCCGUGCCUCUUGGCAUACGGUGGGUGCCAAUUGCUGGGUGGUUUUCGGAAACAUCCACCGUAAAGGUGCAUGAGUGGUGUUUGGUUUGUUACGGGUGGUUGGCUCUUUGCUUGCGCAACAACUGUCACCCGACUUACCUCUUCAGAUGUUUGCCUAGGCUUGUAUAGCCUAAGCAGAUUGUGGGUUUCCUGUGUUGCCUACCUACGUCAUGGAAUUGUCCUGAUCGAUCAAAGUUGCUUUCGUCUUGUGUCGUCUUGAUGGCAUAAGAUGAACCAUGAAGCUGUCUCUUUGCACCGCAUCGUUAAUGCAUGCGUUGAUGUUGUGGCCCAUUGAGCAUUGCUUGGUACCUUGGAUACGGAACCUUAUGUGGGCAUGGGGUCCUUGGGGAUCCUUGUUUUGCCCUCGUUUAGCGUUCGCGCUUCUCUUAGAAUGACUGCCUAGCCGGAAUGGAAACCCAUUGUGGAUGGGCAUCGUCAAAGAGGAAUGC
This 1352-nucleotide unclassified non-coding RNA is filed under the name Helianthus ciliaris. Its description in RNAcentral is "partial external transcribed spacer". Lineage: Eukaryota; Viridiplantae; Streptophyta; Magnoliopsida; Asterales; Asteraceae. The record is from RNAcentral.